This 557-nucleotide ribosomal RNA is filed under the name uncultured bacterium. RNAcentral's name for it is "bacterial SSU rRNA". It matches the Rfam family "Bacterial small subunit ribosomal RNA", at positions 102 to 674 of the family's 1533-position model. The record is from RNAcentral.
ACGGGUGAGUAACACGUGAGUAAUCUGCCCCUGGCUUUGGGAUAGCCACCGGAAACGGUGAUUAAUACCGGAUAUGACCAUUCUUCGCAUGAGGUGUGGUGGAAAGUUUUUCGGCCAGGGAUGUGCUCGCGGCCUAUCAGCUUGAUGGUGAGGUAAUGGCUCACCAUGGCUUCGACGGGUAGCCGGCCCGAGAGGGUGACCGGUCACACUGGGACUGAGACACGGCCCAGACUCCUACGGGAGGCAGCAGUGGGGAAUAUUGGACAAUGGGCGGAAGCCUGAUCCAGCAACGCCGCGUGAGGGAUGACGGCCUUCGGGUUGUAAACCUCUUUCGGUGGGGACGAAGCGCAAGUGACGGUACCCACUAAAGAAGCACCGGCCAACUACGUGCCAGCAGCCGCGGUAAUACGUAGGGUGCGAGCGUUGUCCGGAAUUAUUGGGCGUAAAGGGCUCGUAGGCGGUUUGUCGCGUCGGGAGUGAAAACGCCGUGCUUAACACGGCGCUUGCUUUCGAUACGGGCAGACUAGAGGUAUUCAGGGGAGAACGGAAUUCCUGGU